RNAcentral lists this microRNA (21 nucleotides) under Lotus japonicus. Its description in RNAcentral is "lja-miR11104-3p". Lineage: Eukaryota; Viridiplantae; Streptophyta; Magnoliopsida; Fabales; Fabaceae. The record is from miRBase by way of RNAcentral.
GGGUUGGGUUGGGAUUUUGAA